UACGUAGGGGGCGAGCGUUGUCCGGAAUUAUUGGGCGUAAAGAGCGUGUAGGCGGUUCGGUAAGUCUGCCGUGAAAACCUGGGGCUCAACCCUGGGCGUGCGGUGGAUACUGCCGGGCUAGAGGGUGGUAGAGGCGAGUGGAAUUCCGUCGUAGCGGUGAAAUGCGCGAUAUCGGGAGGAACACCGAGUGCAGAGGCGGCGCUGGGC
Molecule: ribosomal RNA, 207 nt
Filed under: uncultured bacterium
Lineage: Bacteria
Description: partial 16S ribosomal RNA
Rfam family: Bacterial small subunit ribosomal RNA
Source: RNAcentral